GACCUCAAAGAUCAUCCAGUUCCAACCCCUCUGCAACGGGCAGGGACACCUCUCACUAGAUCUUGUCUGAAGUCAUAUCACAAAUAAAGGGUUAAGCUUUGAGAAAAGAAGUUAAAAUACUACACAAAAGCAGCAACUGAAUCCAGUGAAGUGAAGGUCAGGUAUUGUGCUCCUGCGAUGGUUUCUAAAGGCAUCCAAUGAACGGAGGAAGAAACUGAUUCUGGGAUACUGAUGACCGUGUUCCCCGCUACAAAUGGUACACGCAUGGGAAAAGUCUCCUUCACACACAUUUCUCAUCCCCAGAGCCAGGUUUCAGAAAGAAAAAGCAGUCACUAAAAUCCAAGCCUGAAGCUAACAGACCUUUCUGUCCCUGGAAUAGCAAUUGCAGCACAUCCCCACGCCACGUCCCAGUGCAUGACAGUCAUCAAGAAAUGGCGUUUGCUCAUUAGCAAGGAGCCAAAGCACACCAUCACUUUCCUAAUUAGCAUGGAUAAUGCAGUCCAUGGUUUUAUUUUUAAUGUCACUGAAAGCUCUGCUUGCACACAAGGCUGAAGGACUCAAGUGACUUUGAUAAAUAUUUAAUGACAGGUCUUCAACAAUGUC
Long non-coding RNA from Cuculus canorus (common cuckoo), 603 nucleotides. RefSeq lists it as uncharacterized. The record is from RefSeq and is a predicted model, not a curated record. Lineage: Eukaryota; Metazoa; Chordata; Aves; Cuculiformes; Cuculidae. The transcript is spliced from 3 exons.